UACAGAGGGUGCAAACGUUGCUCGGAAUUACUGGGCGUAAAGCGCGUGUAGGCGGUCAACUAAGUCGACUGUGAAAGCCCAGGGCUCAACCCUGGAAGUGCGGUCGAUACUGGAUGACUGGAGUCCUGGAGAGGGUGGCGGAAUUCCCAGUGUAGAGGUGAAAUUCGUAGAUAUUGGGAGGAACACCGGUGGCGAAGGCGGCCACCUGGACAGGUACUGACGCUGAGACGCGAAAGCGUGGGGAGCAAACAGG
This 253-nucleotide unclassified non-coding RNA is filed under the name uncultured Myxococcales bacterium. RNAcentral describes it as "contains 16S-23S intergenic spacer region". It matches the Rfam family "Bacterial small subunit ribosomal RNA", at positions 524 to 776 of the family's 1533-position model. Lineage: Bacteria; Pseudomonadati; Myxococcota; Myxococcia; Myxococcales. The record is from RNAcentral.